Ricinus communis (castor bean) is the source of this 2098-nucleotide long non-coding RNA. RefSeq lists it as uncharacterized. The record is from RefSeq and is a predicted model, not a curated record. Lineage: Eukaryota; Viridiplantae; Streptophyta; Magnoliopsida; Malpighiales; Euphorbiaceae. The transcript has 3 exons.
CAAAAAUCCUCUAAGUUAUUUUAGAUUAACUCGUACAGGCCAUUCUUGCACCGCUUUAAUCUUUUUUGGGUCAGUAGAGACUCCUUCCUUGGUGAUAAUGUGGCCAAGGUAUUCAACAGAAUAUUCACCAAAUUAGGAUUUACUCCUAGCAAAUAAGUGAUGUUCUUGCAAUUUGAGAAAAACCCACUUCAAGUGCUCCAAAUGGGUCUGCAUUUCUGGGCUAUACACCAAAAUAUCAUCAAAAAAUAUCAGUACAAAUCUUCUUAAAUAUGACCUAAAGAUCUCAUUCAUCAAGCUUUGGAAUGUAGAUGGGGCAUUCGUAAGGCCAAAGGGGAUUACUACAAAUUCAUAGUGCCCAUCGUGUGAUCUGGAAGUUGUCUUGUGCACCUCCAAAUUGUACAUCCGAAUCGGAUGGUAGCCAGACCUUAAGUCUGUUUUGGAAAAUACAGCAGUCUCGUGAAGUUCAUCAAGCAGCUCCUCUAUUAUAGUUAUUGGGAAUCUAUCUUCGAUAGUUUGCUUGUUAAAUACCCUAUAGUCAAUCCACAUUCUCCAGGUGCCAUCUUUCUUUUUUACUAAGACUAUUGGAGAUGAGAAAAGGCUAACACUUGGUUGAAUCACUCUACUAGCCAAUAGUUCUUGUAUCAUCUUCCCAAUUAUCGUUUUCUGCAUUGGGGAAUGUUUGUAGGGCCUGAUGUUAACUAGUUUUGCUCCUUCACAAGUGGAAUCCUGUGAUAUGCACUCUACUUGGUGGUAACUCUUUAGGUUCUUCAAAGAUAGAACCAUACUCAAUUAGUGAUUUGGUUAAGUGAAAACUAGCUGCUUCUUUUCUUGGCUGAUUCUGAUUAACUUGCUUAGCUUCAAAUUCAUUCAGUUGUAAGGCAUAAGCAAUGGCAGGCUGCUUAUGUAGUAACUUCAUUAUGUUGUUCUGAGAAAUUACUCUAACUGAAGUAGUGUUGAUACCUUGCAGCUGAUAGCAUCGAUCAUUCACAGUAAAGAUCAUUUUAAGCUGUUUCAAAUUCCACUGAAUAUCACCCAAUCCAGCCAGCCACUGAAUACCAAGAACCAUUUCAUACCCACCCAGAGACAUCACUAGAAAAUCUGAUGCAAAUUUGUAUCCCUAUACUUCCUAAGGAAACUAUUUACACAUAUGAUCACAUACUAUCUCCUAACCAUUUGCUACAAUGAUAUGAACAAGAUCAAUAAGCUUGAGUGCACAUCCUAAGCCUUUAACCAUGGCUUGAUCAAUGAAAUUAUGUGUGCUGCCCGAAUCAACCAAAAUGUGAAAGGAUUUCUUCUUACAAUUCCCAAUUAGCUUCAUGGUAUGAAACAGCCAUGGUUGGUUCAGGAAUUUUGGAGAUGAUGAGAGCAGCGGUGAGGAAGGAUCAAACUGCUUUGCUACCAAAUGGUACCAGUAAAUUUAAGAAGAAAAAGAGAGAGGAAAGGAAGAAGAAAAAUAGAGAGAAGGAAAGAGAAUUUUUACUAACAAAAUAUCAUCUGAUCAUUGCACUACAAAACAACCAUAAUAUAACUGUUGUACCAGUUGGAAUGAUAGCUGCUGGCCUCACCAUCCUACAACUUAUAUCAACCAACCAUUAACAACUUAAACGACUACAAAUUGUAAAGAUAAUAUCAGCUCUGUUUUACACAUAACAUCAUAGUUGGACCUUCAUCCUCGCAAUCAGCUACUACCAAAAAGAUAGGCUUUUCAGAUAGAAACUAGACACUAUUUUCUGGUCAAUAAGGAAUGGGCGCCAUGGACACUGUUUGAACUUGUGAAGCAAAGAUAAUAAAUAGGGUGGUGGAUCUAGUUCAUCUCUACCCCAAGGCUUGAGGAGUUGCUUGUUUCUCAGUUGAGGCGAUCCACUCCUAAGAAAUCUUCUAAGCAAAAUACAUCAAAUGUUCCAUGGCAGAUGGCGAAGAUUUUAAAGAGAUAGAAGAAGUGUAUAGGGUUAGGUUUGACAAGGAUGAGGAAGAAGGGAAAAAGGAAAUAAAAAAUUAAAGAAAGCAAAGCUGUGUCGUUUCAUGUCUUGUUGAUUCUUGUUUUAAUUUUUUGUCUAAGUUGGCCCGAAUGUUAAAAUUGAAGAAAAUAUGUUAGUUA